RNAcentral lists this small RNA (149 nucleotides) under uncultured Selenomonas sp. RNAcentral describes it as "ydaO/yuaA leader". It matches the Rfam family "c-di-AMP riboswitch aptamer (ydaO/yuaA leader)". Rfam says of the family: This family represents a conserved RNA structure found upstream of the ydaO and yuaA genes in Bacillus subtilis and related genes in other bacteria. The ydaO/yuaA element is thought to act as a genetic "off" switch for the ydaO and yuaA genes in its native state. It is believed that the element may be triggered during osmotic shock leading to activation of ydaO, a predicted amino acid transporter gene, and members of the yuaA-yubG operon which code for KtrA and KtrB K+ transporters. The record is from RNAcentral. Lineage: Bacteria; Bacillati; Bacillota; Negativicutes; Selenomonadales; Selenomonadaceae.
GAAAGCCGAAUCCAGCCCAGGAGCGGGGGAACCAAAUGAUUUUGGGGUGAACGCAUCCACCGGGAUAUCUUGCGGUAUAACGGUGGGAGCGCGGGUGGUCUUCUCUACCCGAACCCGGCAGCUAACCUCGUAGGCGAACAGAGAGAGGA